RNAcentral lists this ribosomal RNA (406 nucleotides) under uncultured bacterium. RNAcentral describes it as "partial 16S ribosomal RNA". It matches the Rfam family "Bacterial small subunit ribosomal RNA", at positions 30 to 526 of the family's 1533-position model. The record is from RNAcentral.
AUUGAACGCUGGCGGCAGGCUUAACACAUGCAAGUCGAGCGAGCGGCGGACGGGUGAGUAAUGUCUGGGAAACUGCCUGAUGGAGGGGGAUAACUACUUGAAACGGUAGCUAAUACCGCAUACCAUCAGAUGUGCCCAGAUGGGAUUAGCUAGUAGGUGUGGUAAUGGCUCACCUAGGCUACGAUCCCUAGCUGGUCUCAGAGGCUGACCGGCAACACUGGAACGGAGAAACGGGCCAGACUCCUACGGGAGGCAGCAGUGGGGAAUAUUGCACAAUGGGAGCAAGCCUGAUGCAGCCAUGCCGCGUGUGUGAAGAAGGCCUUCGGGUGGUAAAGUACUUUCAGCGAGGAGGCGUGACUCGCAGAAGAAGCACCGGCUAACUCCGGGCCAGCAGCGGCGGUAAUUC